AAGAUACAAGAGGGAUAGCCAAACGCAUAGAUUGAAAAUAAUUAAUCUGACGAAGCCAUGGCUUAAAUAAAAAAGGCAAACAGAUAAAUAAUAGUACAUAAGACACAACAUACAAACUUAAAGACUAAGCAAAUCGAUUGAGAGAAAAUAAAUCUUAGCAAUAAACUAAAACUUGGGGAAAUACAUAAACUAUAAGAGGAAAACACAUGAACAACAGAAAAACUGAAGUGCAACAAAAACCAAACAACAAUGCAACACACACAGAAACAAACUAUCUGAUAACAACUGCCAUUUUCCUGACUUGGUACCGGACAUUUUAAAGAAAAAAUGGUGGGUUGAACCUGGUUUUGCAGCUAGCCUGACAUUGCGCUUUUAUGCCAAGGUAGAAAAUACCACUAAAACACAAC
RNAcentral lists this long non-coding RNA (407 nucleotides) under Mytilus galloprovincialis (Mediterranean mussel). Lineage: Eukaryota; Metazoa; Mollusca; Bivalvia; Mytilida; Mytilidae. The record is from RNAcentral.